Molecule: ribosomal RNA, 402 nt
Filed under: Pseudomonas sp.
Lineage: Bacteria; Pseudomonadati; Pseudomonadota; Gammaproteobacteria; Pseudomonadales; Pseudomonadaceae
Also listed under: 3 other names
Description: partial 16S ribosomal RNA
Rfam family: Bacterial small subunit ribosomal RNA
Source: RNAcentral
UGGGGAAUAUUGGACAAUGGGCGCAAGCCUGAUCCAGCCAUGCCGCGUGAGUGACGAAGGUCUUCGGAUUGUAAAGCUCUUUUGGCGGGGACGAUAAUGACGGUACCCGCAGAAUAAGCCCCGGCUAACUUCGUGCCAGCAGCCGCGGUAAUACGAAGGGGGCUAGCGUUGUUCGGAAUUACUGGGCGUAAAGCGCACGUAGGCGGAUUGCUAAGUCAGGGGUGAAAUCCCGGGGCUCAACCUCGGAACUGCCUUUGAUACUGACAGUCUUGAGUCCGGAAGAGGUGAGUGGAAUUCCUAGUGUAGAGGUGAAAUUCGUAGAUAUUAGGAAGAACACCAGUGGCGAAGGCGGCUCACUGGUCCGGUACUGACGCUGAGGUGCGAAAGCGUGGGGAGCAAACA